AAUCCGUGGUGUGGGCACUUCUGAAUUAGCAUCUUAAAACACUCCUAUGCUUCGUGAAAGCUUUCCCCUUCUAACUGUUUUAACAUCAAAAUUUCCCUUCUUAGUUA
Gossypium arboreum is the source of this 107-nucleotide small nucleolar RNA. It matches the Rfam family "Plant small nucleolar RNA R71". Rfam says of the family: R71 is a member of the C/D box family of snoRNAs containing the C (UGAUGA) and D (CUGA) box motifs. Multiple nearly identical copies of this snoRNA have been identified in Arabidopsis, and it is thought to function as a 2'-O-ribose methylation guide for 18S ribosomal RNA. The record is from Rfam. Lineage: Eukaryota; Viridiplantae; Streptophyta; Magnoliopsida; Malvales; Malvaceae.